This 408-nucleotide ribosomal RNA is filed under the name uncultured bacterium. Its description in RNAcentral is "partial 16S ribosomal RNA". It matches the Rfam family "Bacterial small subunit ribosomal RNA", at positions 28 to 526 of the family's 1533-position model. The record is from RNAcentral.
GACGAACGCUGGCGGCGUGCUUAACACAUGCAAGUCGAACGGAGUGGCGAACGGGUGAGUAACACGUGGGUGACCCGCCCUGCACUUCGGGAUAAGCCUGGGAAACUGGGUCUAAUACCGGAUAGUGUGGGAUGGGCCCGCGGCCUAACAGCUUGUUGGUGGGGUAAUGGCCUACCAAGGCGGCGACGGGUAGCCGGCCUGAGAGGGUGGACGGCCACAUUGGGACUGAGACACAGCCCAGACUCCUACGGGAGGCAGAAGUGGGGAAUAUUGCGCAAUAGGCGGAAGCCUGAUGCAGGGACGCAGCGUGGGGGAUGAAGGCCUUCGGGUUGUAAACUCCAUUCACCAUCGACGCAGUGGAUGGAGAAGAAGCACCGACUGACUACGUGCCAGCAGCCGGGGUAAUAC